Molecule: long non-coding RNA, 99 nt
Organism: Haliotis rubra (blacklip abalone)
Lineage: Eukaryota; Metazoa; Mollusca; Gastropoda; Lepetellida; Haliotidae
Exons: 2
Source: RefSeq, a predicted model, not a curated record
GUACGCUUGGCUUGGCGGCUUGACAGGGCUGUACUCUGCACCCUAGUGCCAUACACCGGGGUGUUGUUAAUAUUGGAAUAAAAGGUCUCACCCCCGUAA